GCUAAUAUGUACACAAAAUGAAAUUUUAUAAGACGAUGAGUAAAGGGAACAAAUAUUAUAGUUCAUUGUAAGUCUCCAUCUAGCUGUAAAAACUGAGGAUUUUUAUUUUUUUUUAAUCAGAACCUAUAAUACAAAACUUUUUUUAAAAUCUAUGUACCAGUUUUUUUUUUUUAAAAGACAACUUACAUUAUCCAUAAUGUUAGAGGUCGUUCCAGCUUAGUAUUGCCAAAACCUAAAAGUGACUGCUACUGGUCUUCUUCUUCUUCGCUGAUCGCAGUGACUACUUUAGCUUUUCUUGUUUUUCUUCUCCAUUAUUGCUCAUAGAUACGCCUAGUGCUUUUUGUUAGAACAAAUUUG
This is a non-coding RNA of Camellia sinensis, 357 nucleotides long. The record is from RefSeq and is a predicted model, not a curated record. NCBI's taxonomy places the organism in Eukaryota, Viridiplantae, Streptophyta, Magnoliopsida, Ericales, Theaceae.